Molecule: ribosomal RNA, 466 nt
Filed under: uncultured bacterium
Lineage: Bacteria
Description: partial 16S ribosomal RNA
Rfam family: Bacterial small subunit ribosomal RNA
Source: RNAcentral
GACGAACGCUGGCGGCGUGCUUAACACAUGCAAGUCGAACGGAAAGGCCUCUUUCGGGGGGUACUCGAGUGGCGAACGGGUGAAUAACACGUGAGUAACCUGCCCUUGACUUUGGGAUAACUUCAGGAAACUGGGGCUAAUACCGGAUAGGAGCUCCUGCUGCAUGGUGGGGGUUGGAAAGUUUCGGCGGUUGGGGAUGGACUCGCGGCUUAUCAGCUUGUUGGUGGGGUAGUGGCUUACCAAGGCUUUGACGGGUAGCCGGCCUGAGAGGGUGACCGGCCACAUUGGGACUGAGAUACGGCCCAGACUCCUACGGGAGGCAGCAGUGGGGAAUAUUGCACAAUGGGUGGAAGCCUGAUGCAGCAACGCCGUGUGCGGGAUGACGGCCUUCGGGUUGUAAACCGCUUUCGCUCAUGACGAAGCUUUGUGUGACGGUAGUGGGUAAAGAAGCACCGGCUAACUACGU